This 95-nucleotide small RNA is filed under the name Caulobacter vibrioides NA1000. RNAcentral describes it as "small non-coding RNA". Lineage: Bacteria; Pseudomonadati; Pseudomonadota; Alphaproteobacteria; Caulobacterales; Caulobacteraceae. The record is from RNAcentral.
GCGGCAAGGUCUGGGUGCUUGCUUCACGCCGCCAAACCCCCAGUCCCGCCGCCCAAAGAAAACACCCGCCUCCUGCGAGGCGGGUGUUUCAAAUC